GAUGAACGCUGGCGGCGUGCCUAACACAUGCAAGUCGAACGGAGUCGUUUUGGAAAAUCCUUCGGGAUUGGAAUUCUCGACUUAGUGGCGGACGGGUGAGUAACGCGUGAGCAAUCUGCCUUUAAGAGAGGGAUAACAGUCGGAAACGGCUGCUAAUACCGCAUAAAGCAUCAAAUUCGCAUGUUUUUGAUGCCAAAGGAGCAAUCCGCUUUUAGAUGAGCUCGCGUCUGAUUAGCUGGUUGGCGGGGUAACGGCCCACCAAGGCGACGAUCAGUAGCCGGACUGAGAGGUUGAACGGCCACAUUGGGACUGAGACACGGCCCAGACUCCUACGGGAGGCAGCAGUGGGGAAUAUUGCGCAAUGGGGGAAACCCUGACGCAGCAACGCCGCGUGAUUGAAGAAGGCCUUCGGGUUGUAAAGAUCUUUAAUCAGGGACGAAACGGUUGUCGGUACCUGAAGAAUAGC
Molecule: ribosomal RNA, 466 nt
Filed under: uncultured bacterium
Lineage: Bacteria
Description: bacterial SSU rRNA
Rfam family: Bacterial small subunit ribosomal RNA
Source: RNAcentral